GACGAACGCUGGCGGCGUGCUUAACACAUGCAAGUCGAACGGAAAGGCCCUGCUUUUGUGGGGUGCUCGAGUGGCGAACGGGUGAGUAACACGUGAGUAACCUGCCCUUGACUUUGGGAUAACUUCAGGAAACUGGGGCUAAUACCGGAUAGGAGCUCCUGCUGCAUGGUGGGGGUUGGAAAGUUUCGGCGGUUGGGGAUGGACUCGCGGCUUAUCAGCUUGUUGGUGGGGUAGUGGCUUACCAAGGCUUUGACGGGUAGCCGGCCUGAGAGGGUGACCGGCCACAUGGGGACUGAGAUACGGCCCAGACUCCUACGGGAGGCAGCAGUGGGGAAUGUUGCACAAUGGGCGGAAGCCUGAUGCAGCAACGCCGCGUGCGGGAUGACGGCCUUCGGGUUGUAAACCGCUUUCGCCUGUGACGAAGCGUGAGUGACGGUAAUGGGUAAAGAAGCACCGGCUAACUACGUG
Molecule: ribosomal RNA, 468 nt
Filed under: uncultured bacterium
Lineage: Bacteria
Description: partial 16S ribosomal RNA
Rfam family: Bacterial small subunit ribosomal RNA
Source: RNAcentral